Long non-coding RNA from Gallus gallus (chicken), 593 nucleotides. RefSeq lists it as uncharacterized. The transcript has 2 exons. The record is from RefSeq and is a predicted model, not a curated record. Lineage: Eukaryota; Metazoa; Chordata; Aves; Galliformes; Phasianidae.
CCCUUCCGGCGCCGGGCGGACGCUGCGGCCCUCCCCGGGGCGGAGCUCCGCGGUUGCGGCCUCGGCGAGGGUUUGUCCUCGUGUUCCUCCCAGCCUCAGAGCCCUGGGGAUGCCAGCAGCUGUCAGUCUCCGUUGUUGGAUGUGGAAAUGUUUGCUUGAACCAAAAGCAGCAUCGAAGUCCUUCACGUUGCUGUAUCCGGGGGGGGGGAAGGUGGGUUGGGUGAGCACUGCAGCCACAGCCGGACCCCGCAAUGGGGCUCAAGGGAUGCGAUGGGGCUCUGUGCUUCAAGAUGAGCAAACCAGGCUCUGUGUUUCCCAUCUGGACCCGGAGCCAAAGACAUGCAGCAGUCAGGGCUGUGAUUCAGUGCUUUGGGGUGCAGGGAGAAGACGGUCAGCUGCCCAUGCUGAGCACCCCACAGCCACACACACAGUGUAGAUGGAGCCCAACGCAGCCCCGAGAACACACGCGACAAAGAAAUGACCUGCCAUUUUCUGGUUUGGUAAUCUUUAUGUAGAUAUUUAACCCUACACCCUUAUCAAACGUAUGGCAUGAGCUCUACCAACUAAAAAAUAAAAUAAAAUAAAAUCAUCAA